ACGACAAAGGCAAACCGCCCGAAAGGGCGGGGCGCAAAGCCUCUGGCCUAACCCCCGGGAACCCGGGAUAUGGCAGCAGGGCUGCCG
Molecule: non-coding RNA, 87 nt
Filed under: uncultured Desulfococcus sp.
Lineage: Bacteria; Pseudomonadati; Thermodesulfobacteriota; Desulfobacteria; Desulfobacterales; Desulfococcaceae
Description: Cyclic di-GMP-I riboswitch
Rfam family: c-di-GMP-I-GGC riboswitch aptamer
Source: RNAcentral